RNAcentral lists this ribosomal RNA (255 nucleotides) under uncultured bacterium. RNAcentral's name for it is "partial 16S ribosomal RNA". It matches the Rfam family "Bacterial small subunit ribosomal RNA", at positions 99 to 354 of the family's 1533-position model. The record is from RNAcentral.
CGGACGGGUGAGUAACGCGUGGAAAACCUGCCGUAUACUGGGGGAUAACACUUAGAAAUAGGUGCUAAUACCGCAUAAGCGCACAGCUUCGCAUGAAGCGGUGUGAAAAACUCUGGCGGUAUACGAUGGUUCCGCGUCUGAUUAGCUAGUUGGUGGGGUAAUGGCCUACCAAGGCAACGAUCAGUAGCCGGCCUGAGAGGGUGAACGGCCACAUUGGGACUGAGACACGGCCCAAACUCCUACGGGAGGCAGCAG